RNAcentral lists this ribosomal RNA (465 nucleotides) under uncultured bacterium. RNAcentral's name for it is "partial 16S ribosomal RNA". It matches the Rfam family "Bacterial small subunit ribosomal RNA", at positions 338 to 795 of the family's 1533-position model. The record is from RNAcentral.
CCUACGGGUGGCAGCAGUGGGGAAUAUUGCGCAAUGGGCGAAAGCCUGACGCAGCGACGCCGCGUGAGGGAUGAAGGUCUUCGGAUCGUAAACCACUGUCAGCAGGGAAGAACGGUCAAUGUGCUAAUCAGCAGUGAAUUGACGGUACCUGCAAAGGAAGCACCGGCUAACUCCGUGCCAGCAGCCGCGGUAAUACGGAGGGUGCGAGCGUUAAUCGGAAUUACUGGGCGUAAAGCGCUCGUAGGCGGUAUGUAAAGUCAAGGGUGAAAUCCCCGGGCUCAACGUGGGAACUGCCUUUGAAACUGGCAAACUGGAGUGUGUGAGAGGAUAGUAGAAUUCCAGGUGUAGGAGUGAAAUCCGUAGAGAUCUGGAGGAACAUCAGUGGCGAAGGCGACUAUCUGGAACAUAACUGACGCUGAGGUGCGAAAGCGUGGGUAGCAAACAGGAUUAGAUACCCGGGUAGUC